GGUUUAGCUCAGUUGGUUAGAGUGUGGUACUAACAAUGCCAAGGUCGCAGGUUUGAUCCCUGUGUGGGCCA
This is a non-coding RNA of Rhea pennata, 71 nucleotides long. The record is from the annotation of a RefSeq genome assembly. Lineage: Eukaryota; Metazoa; Chordata; Aves; Rheiformes; Rheidae.